CCCGCUGAACUUAAGCAUAUCAAUAAGCGGAGGAAAAGAAACCAACAGGGAUUGCCCUAGUAACGGCGAGUGAAGCGGCAACAGCUCAAAUUUGAAAUCUGGCCUUCGGGUCCGAGUUGUAAUUUGUAGAGGAUGCUUUUGGUGCGGUACUUUCCGAGUUCCCUGGAACGGGACGCCUUAGAGGGUGAGAGCCCCGUACGGUUGGAUACCUAGCCUUUGUAAAGCUCCUUCGACGAGUCGAGUAGUUUGGGAAUGCUGCUCUAAAUGGGAGGUAAAUUUCUUCUAAAGCUAAAUACUGGCCAGAGACCGAUAGCGCACAAGUAGAGUGAUCGAAAGAUGAAAAGCACUUUGAAAAGAGGGUUAAAUAGCACGUGAAAUUGUUGAAAAGGAAGCGUUUAUGACCAGACUUUUUCUAGGCAGAUCAUCCGGUGUUCUCACCGGUGCACUUUGCCUAGUUGAGGCCAGCAUCGGUUUCUAUAGAGGGAUAAAAACAGUGGGAAUGUGGCUCCUCCGGGAGUGUUAUAGCCCAUUGUAUAAUACCUUUACGGGGACCGAGGUUCGCGCUCUGCAAGGAUGCUGGCGUAAUGGUCAUCAACGACCCGUCUUGAAACACGG
This 615-nucleotide ribosomal RNA is filed under the name uncultured fungus. Its description in RNAcentral is "eukaryotic LSU rRNA". It matches the Rfam family "Eukaryotic large subunit ribosomal RNA", at positions 24 to 664 of the family's 3401-position model. Lineage: Eukaryota; Fungi. The record is from RNAcentral.